RNAcentral lists this ribosomal RNA (305 nucleotides) under uncultured bacterium. Its description in RNAcentral is "bacterial SSU rRNA". It matches the Rfam family "Bacterial small subunit ribosomal RNA", at positions 335 to 655 of the family's 1533-position model. The record is from RNAcentral.
UUUCCUACGGGGGGCAGCAGUGGGGGAUAUUGCACAAUGGGGGAAACCCUGAUGCAGCGACGCCGCGUGGGCGAAGAAGUAUUUCGGUAUGUAAAGCCCUAUCAGCAGGGAAGAAGAAAUGACGGUACCUGAGUAAGAAGCACCGGCUAAAUACGUGCCAGCAGCCGCGGUAAUACGUAGGGGGCAAGCGUUAUCCGGAUUUACUGGGUGUAAAGGGAGCGUAGACGGUCCUGCAAGCCAGAUGUGAAAGCCCGGGGCUCAACCCCGGGACUGCAUUUGGAACUGUAAGGCUAGAGUGUCGGAGG